CACUUCAGAGCAGGCGAACUUUGAAGGUGUCUUCAUUGAAAAAGAUGAGGAAGUUGCUGAGUUUAUGAAAUACAUCCAGAGACACACAAAUGAUGUAAGAGACUCAUAUAUAUAUAUAUAUUAGUGCUGUCAGCGUUAAUCUUGUUAAAAUGACGUUAACGCCAUAAACAUAUACACGUGUGUGUGUGUGUGUGUGUGUGUGUAUAAAUGCAUAUGGAUGGGUGUAUAUUCAUUUUAUUUUUCUCUUGGUGUUGUUAUAAUACUAUUUACUUUACUUUUUCUUAAUGUAUACUUAAUUUUAGCGUCCCAGGACAUAUUACUUUCCUUUGCUCCGAUGUGUCCUGUAAAUAUUUCCCAUAUUUAAUCAAGGUGGCUCAGCUGAGGAACCUCUUGUCAAUGCGUCCAUUUCUCUCCGUCAUGCAUGCAAAGGCUCUCAUUUGGAAAUGCGAGGGCGAACAGACAUGCUGACCCUCCUGGCUUUGGGGUGGACCAAAAGGAAAGUGGAACAACUGGUUUGAGCCAGAGAUAUCUAAAGGUGAUUUUUUUUUUUCAACACCCAUUUAAAUGUGUGUGGUAAUGGGGGAAAAACACCUGUACUGUAAAAACAUCAAUGCGAAUGACAUUUAUUAAUGUAUUCUUAGAUCAUAAGGAUCCUUAGAGAACAAAUGGAGAGCCUGAAUAUGACCAGAAAUGAGCUGGGUGUGGAUGACGACACACUGCAGCAAUGGGUGGCCGAUGUGCAGAAAUGGGCUGAAGAAACUGAUCAAACUGAUGGCAGCCUUGGAGCGUUGCAGGCACGACUAGAGGAGCUUGUCGUCAUCAUCAGAGUGCGAACACAAAGUCUUUACAGACAAAAUGAUAGCAACAAGAGGCGACACAGAAUUCGCAAGGUCAUCUUAGAUGAGAAGAAACGCUUGGCGGCUGCUGUUGACGACUACAACAAGCUUGCUGAACCAACAAAGCAAAUCGUAUCCAGUGAUGCCCUCAUCCAGACCGACAUUUGGCUCUGGCAGAGCACAAGUGAACCUGCUGCUGAACUCCAGACAAAGAGAGAGGUCUUUGAGAAGGUGAUGGCUGUGAGGCGCCUGAGAGAGGACGAGAUGAUCCUUUGCAGGGAGAUGCGGCAUCACUGGACAGUGUUGCAAAUGCGAUCUGUGGUGUUGGGGACAAUCUCCUCAGACUCCUCCUUUGUUGGCAUGUCGGAGGAUGCACAGAAGGGACUCCGUAGCCUGGUUUAAAAAAACAAAGUGAACUGAAAGCUGAAAUGCUCAAAAUAAAGGACACGUACAAGAGAAUCCUCAGCCACCAACCACUCCUGGAAAUGGACUCGGAGGAGGAGGAGGACAUUCCAGACGAUGCCACUGAGAGUGAUUUGAGCACUUCUGAUGAAGACUGAUUGUGUCAUCAUUGAUGUUAUUUUUGGUAAAAUAAAAAGUUAAUCACAUCUCUGUUUAAUGUGAUUUUUCAACAGACAUUUUACAUUUUGAGAAGAAAAAUGGAAUUUCCUUGGUGCAGUUGUUUACCCAUAAUCAUGCUUUCCCAUGUAAUUUAAUGACUAGUGUAAAUGUUCAGAUAGACUAACAUAAUUUAAUUCAUGGAAUGUUUUCUGUGCUGCUCAAAUUACCACAGAAUUUAAAAGCACCAGGCAGCAAACUCACAAGGAAAUUUUUGUUCAGUGUUUUGUCGAAGAAAUCAACAAGUACAAUUGAGAUGUUUGCUGUAGUGGUGUGUUUGUUAAGAAGCAUGCCAGCACACUGGUGAACUGACAGUCCCAGAAUGCACCCGAGCCACUGACUCGCACAAGAGCAAAUGAAACUGCUUAUCUAGGAAGACAACCGUCAUCAAAGAAUAAGUAAAAGAAUAGGAAACUAACGGUAAGGGAAGGUACUGUGCAGUAGGAAAGAAAGGCCAGAGCCGUGCAAAAUGACCUCCAGCAGGCCACAAAUGUGCUCGUCUGCUCAAACGGUCAGGAACGGACUCCAUGAGAGCCCGACAUCCACAGGUGAGGGUUUUGCUUGCAGCCCAACACCGUGCAGGAUGUUUGGCAUUUGCCAGAGAACACAAA
This is a long non-coding RNA of Oreochromis niloticus (Nile tilapia), 2065 nucleotides long. Lineage: Eukaryota; Metazoa; Chordata; Actinopteri; Cichliformes; Cichlidae. The record is from Ensembl.